UGCUGUUACCUGUGUGGUAUUUUCUUAAUAUAUCUCUCAACGUACGAGGACCCAACACUACGAAUGGACUGAUUAUGCGAGUGCUGUAUUUUGUUCCAGUGACCAUUUUGGGUGCAGUACACACACCACAGUUCGAGCUUCUGAGUGCAAGUUGUCUACGAUUCCUGUGGGUCCGUGGCACCACUUAUGCAACCUGCAGUGGAUCACAGCUCACAGCUCUAGUGGAUGGGCCAAGACGGGCUCGUCAUUCAGCACCUAUAUGCCAGUGUUGCUUAGAUGUAGCAUGAAAGCUGUUUAUGUCAUUUGCAUACCCUCUGUGUUAAAUUGAUCCUAAUUACCAUAGUGUUAAAUAAAUUGUUAUGAUUUUA
Long non-coding RNA from Macrobrachium nipponense, 368 nucleotides. RefSeq lists it as uncharacterized. The transcript has 2 exons. NCBI's taxonomy places the organism in Eukaryota, Metazoa, Arthropoda, Malacostraca, Decapoda, Palaemonidae. The record is from RefSeq and is a predicted model, not a curated record.